This 253-nucleotide ribosomal RNA is filed under the name uncultured bacterium. RNAcentral describes it as "partial 16S ribosomal RNA". It matches the Rfam family "Bacterial small subunit ribosomal RNA", at positions 524 to 776 of the family's 1533-position model. The record is from RNAcentral.
UACGUAGGGGGCAAGCGUUGUCCGGAUUUAUUGGGCGUAAAGAGCGUGUAGGCGGCCAUACAGGUCAGCUGUGAAAACUCGAGGCUCAACCUCGAGACGUCGGUUGAAACCGUAUGGCUAGAGUCCGGAAGAGGAGAGUGGAAUUCCCGGUGUAGCGGCGAAAUGCGCAGAUAUCGGGAAGAACACCCGUGGCGAAGGCGGUGGGCUGGGCCGGAACUGACGCUGAGGAGCGAAAGCGUGGGGAGCGAACAGG